GACGAACCGAGCGAACGUUGUUCGGAUUCACUGGGCUUAAAGGGCGCGUAGGCGGGCCGUCUGGUCUGGGGUGAAAUCCUCCCGCUUAACGGGAGAACGGCCCUGGAAACCGGCGGUCUUGAGGGAGGUAGGGGCGUGCGGAACACUGGGUGGAGCGGUGAAAUGCGUUGAUAUCCAGUGGAACUCCGGUGGCGAAGGCGGCACGCUGGACCUUUACUGACGCUGAGGCGCGAAAGCCAGGGGAGCAAAC
This 250-nucleotide ribosomal RNA is filed under the name uncultured bacterium. Its description in RNAcentral is "partial 16S ribosomal RNA". It matches the Rfam family "Bacterial small subunit ribosomal RNA", at positions 524 to 773 of the family's 1533-position model. The record is from RNAcentral.